Molecule: non-coding RNA, 703 nt
Organism: Nicotiana tabacum (common tobacco)
Lineage: Eukaryota; Viridiplantae; Streptophyta; Magnoliopsida; Solanales; Solanaceae
Source: RefSeq, a predicted model, not a curated record
AAAAAAACAAAGAUUCGGACGCGUUUGGCGCAUUCCUAAUAAACGUAGCAAGUUAUUUCUUCACAAGAGAUAUCCCAAAAACGCCGCCUGCAUUCAACGGGGCGAAGAACAGCGGAGAAAAAGUAUUCUUCAAAAAUGGGUGGACUGCCAAUAGAGAAUACAUCUACAGCCAUAUCUUUGUCGCAAGUACCAAAAGAUCAAAAGUCAGCUGUGCCUGAUUCAAAGCCAAAGAAGAAGAUAUGCUGUGCUUGCCCUGAUACUAAGAAGCUGAGAGAUGAAUGCAUUGUGGAGCAUGGCGAAUCCGCUUGUGAGAAAUGGAUUGAAGCUCAUCGCAAAUGCCUUCGAGCUGAAGGCUUCAAUGUCUGAAGCAUAGCAGCCGGCCUCUGAAUAGACAAGCGGAGAUACAAAAUUUUGUCUAAUGCUUAGUUUGUUUUGGCACUAUACAAGCUCAAUUAGCUAAAUAUUUACAGGUCGAAUUUGUUUACCAAAUACAGGAAUAAAGCAAGGAAGUUCUGCAAAUUGAUUUGUUGGACCAGGAAAUGCGAGAUAAUUCGUCUUGAUUAUUUGAAUUGUGGAGUACAUUUCAAGAAUGGAAAUUAGCCGUUGCAAGGGACUUAUUAUCUUUGCAUCAUUGCUUCAUCUAACUAUGAAUAAAUACUAACAAAUGUUUGGUAUGAAAAUGGUAUUAGUGGUUUGUUACAUA